This 373-nucleotide ribosomal RNA is filed under the name uncultured bacterium. Its description in RNAcentral is "bacterial SSU rRNA". It matches the Rfam family "Bacterial small subunit ribosomal RNA", at positions 1018 to 1394 of the family's 1533-position model. The record is from RNAcentral.
CUUCGGAGUCUUGGAGACAGGUGGUGCAUGGUUGUCUUCAGCUCGUGUCGUGAGAUGUUGGGUCAAGUCCCGCAACGAGCGCAACCCUUGUCCGUAGUAGCCAGCAGUAAGAUGGGAACUCUAUGGAGACUGCCGGGGAUAACCCGGAGGAAGGUGGGGAUGACGUCAAAUCAUCAUGCCCCUUACGGUCUGGGCGACACACGUGCUACAAUGGCGUAACAAAGGGAAGCGAGCCCGCGAGGGGGAGCAAACCCCAAAAAUAGCGUCCCAGUUCGGACUGUAGUCUGCAACCCGACUACACGAAGCCGGAAUCGCUAGUAAUCGCGGAUCAGAAUGCCGCGGUGAAUACGUUCCCGGGUCUUGUACACACGCA